RNAcentral lists this ribosomal RNA (254 nucleotides) under uncultured bacterium. RNAcentral describes it as "partial 16S ribosomal RNA". It matches the Rfam family "Bacterial small subunit ribosomal RNA", at positions 524 to 776 of the family's 1533-position model. The record is from RNAcentral.
UACAUGGGCUCCAAGCGUUGUCCGGAAUUAUUGGGCGUAAAGAGCUCGUAGGCGGUGUGUCACGUCGUUCGUGAAAACCUGCAGCUUAACUGUGGGCGUGCGGUCGAUACGGGCAUCACUGGAGUUCGGCAGGGGAGACUGGAAUUCCUGGUGUAGCGGUGAAAUGCGCAGAUAUCAGGAGGAACACCGGUGGCGAAGGCGGGUCUCUGGGCCGAUACUGACGCUGAGGAGCGAAAGCGUGGGGAGCAAACAGG